This 303-nucleotide ribosomal RNA is filed under the name uncultured bacterium. RNAcentral describes it as "bacterial SSU rRNA". It matches the Rfam family "Bacterial small subunit ribosomal RNA", at positions 1033 to 1336 of the family's 1533-position model. The record is from RNAcentral.
GACAGGUGGUGCAUGGUUGUCGUCAGCUCGUGUCGUGAGAUGUUGGGUUAAGUCCCGCAACGAGCGCAACCCUUGUCGUCAGUUACUAAUCAUUCAGUUGAGGACUCUGGCGAGACUGCCGAGGUUAAGCUCGGAGGAAGGUGGGGAUGACGUCAAAUCAUCAUGCCCCUUAUGUUCUGGGCUACACACGUGCUACAAUGGUCGGUACAAUGAGAGGCAAACCUGUGAGGGGGAGCAAAUCACCAAAACCGAUCCCAGUUCGGAUUGUAGGCUGAAACUCGCCUACAUGAAGUUGGAGUUGCU